AUUACCUAGAGUUUGUGGGCUUUGCCCACUGUCUCUUACCCAUGUCUUUUGAGUACUUACGUUUCCUCGGUGGGCUCGCCCGCCGGUUGGACAAUUUAAACCAUUUGCAGUUGCAAUCAGCGUCUGAAAAACAUACUAGUUACAACUUUCAACAACGGAUCUCUUGGUUCUGGCAUCGAUGAAGAACGCAGCGAAAUGCGAUAAGUAGUGUGAAUUGCAGAAUUCAGUGAAUCAUCGAAUCUUUGAACGCACAUUGCGCCCCUUGGUAUUCCAUGGGGCAUGCCUGUUCGAGCGUCAUUUGUACCUUCAAGCUCUGCUUGGUGUUGGGUGUUUGUCUCGCCUUGCGCGUAGACUCGCCUUAAAACAAUUGGCAGCCGGCGUAUUGAUUUCGGAGCGCAGUACAUCUCGCGCUUUGCACUCAUAACGACGACGUCCAAAAGUACUUUUUACACUCUUGACCUCGGAUCAGGUAGGGAUACCCGCUGAACUUAAGCAUAUCAAUAAGCGGAGGAAAAGAAACCAACAGGGAUUGCCCUAGUAACGGCGAGUGAAGCGGCAACAGCUCAAAUUUGAAAUCUGGCGUCUUUGGCGUCCGAGUUGUAAUUUGCAGAGGGCGCUUUGGCAUUGGCAGCGGUCCAAGUUCCUUGGAACAGGACGUCACAGAGGGUGAGAAUCCCGUACGUGGUCGCUAGCCUUUACCGUGUAAAGCCCCUUCGACGAGUCGAGUUGUUUGGGAAUGC
Molecule: ribosomal RNA, 740 nt
Filed under: fungal sp.
Lineage: Eukaryota; Fungi
Description: eukaryotic LSU rRNA
Rfam family: Eukaryotic large subunit ribosomal RNA (bases 456-740)
Source: RNAcentral